CAGUAGCCGCGGUAAUACGAAGGGUGCAAGCGUUAAUCGGAAUUACUGGGCGUAAAGGGUGCGUAGGCGGUUAUAUAAGACAGAUGUGAAAUCCCCGGGCUCAACCUGGGACCUGCAUUUGUGACUGUAUAGCUAGAGUACGGUAGAGGGGGAUGGAAUUCUGCGUGUAGCAGUGAAAUGCGUAGAUAUGCGGAGGAACACCGAUGGCGAAGGCAAUCCCCUGGACCUGUACUGACGCUCAUGCACGAAAGCGUGGGGAGCAAACAGGAUUAGAUACCCCAGUAGUCCCUGUCUCUUAUAC
RNAcentral lists this ribosomal RNA (301 nucleotides) under uncultured bacterium. Its description in RNAcentral is "partial 16S ribosomal RNA". It matches the Rfam family "Bacterial small subunit ribosomal RNA", at positions 509 to 807 of the family's 1533-position model. The record is from RNAcentral.